RNAcentral lists this transfer RNA (72 nucleotides) under Bos taurus (domestic cattle). It matches the Rfam family "tRNA". From Rfam's summary of the family: Transfer RNA (tRNA) molecules are approximately 80 nucleotides in length. Their secondary structure includes four short double-helical elements and three loops (D, anti-codon, and T loops). Lineage: Eukaryota; Metazoa; Chordata; Mammalia; Artiodactyla; Bovidae. RNAcentral also lists the same sequence under 4 other names. The record is from Rfam by way of RNAcentral.
UCCCUGGUGGCUGAGCUGGUAAAGAAUGUGUUUGCAAUGCAGGAGACCUAGGUUCAAUCCCUGGAUGGGGAA